RNAcentral lists this non-coding RNA (165 nucleotides) under Candidatus Borkfalkia ceftriaxoniphila. The record is from RNAcentral. Lineage: Bacteria; Bacillati; Bacillota; Clostridia; Christensenellales; Christensenellaceae.
GAGUGCCUUGCGAGAGCAAGGGUAAAAGGGAAAUCGGUGAAAGACCGAUGCAACAGCCAUUACUGUGAACGGUGAAACGCUGCGCAUACGCCAUUGAACGGAAUCGUUUGAGAAGGCGCGCACAUCUUUGAAAAAAGACCGCAAGCCAGGAAACCUGCUUAAAGC